Molecule: non-coding RNA, 543 nt
Organism: Phasianus colchicus (ring-necked pheasant)
Lineage: Eukaryota; Metazoa; Chordata; Aves; Galliformes; Phasianidae
Source: RefSeq, a predicted model, not a curated record
GCCAUGGGCGUGUCACAGUGGCUAGAAUGCUCACAGAUCCAUGUGGUCACACAGGAACUGGUGAGAUGGGCUGCAUAGGGAGAUCAUAGAAAGAGCUGCAGCCCUGUGCGGGAACAGUUGAGGGCAAAAGAGGUUGGUGUGCAGAGGCUGAGCCAGCGGCCCAGAGGCGAACACGUCCUGAGCGUGGAUCCUCCUGACCUGUGCUACACUGCUGGAGAGAUGCUCCAUUUUGCCCAUGGACAUCAGUACAAAGAUAUGCAGUCAAAUUAAGAGCAUUAUUGCUGCAAUGUGGGAACGAGCUACUGGCAACUGCCAUUGUGAUGCUGUGGGCAUGUCACAGUAGCUAGAAUGCUGACAGACUCAUGUGUCACACAGGUUCUAGUGGCACGGCCUGCCUAGGGAGAGCACAGAAAGAGCUGCAGCCCUGUGCCAGCCCCUGGUAGAGGAGAGCAGGAUGGUGUACAGAGCUGUGUCUUGGAAAGCCAGAGGCCCAGAGGAGAACACGUUCUGACCAUGGAUCCUCCUGACCUAUGCUGGAGAGAU